CCGGGCGACCGGCGCACGGGUGAGUAACACGUAUGCAACCUGGCCGUGACAGAUGGAUAACCGGGAGAAAUCCCGCCUAAUACAACAUAAUGCCGGGAGGGGACAUCCCCUGCCGGUCAAAGGGGGCGACCCCGGUCAUGGAUGGGCAUGCGGCGCAUUAGGUAGUUGGUGGGGGCAACGGCCCACCAAGCCGACGAUGCGUAGGGGUUCUGAGAGGAAGGUCCCCCACAUUGGAACUGAGACACGGUCCAAACUCCUACGGAAGGCAGCAG
RNAcentral lists this ribosomal RNA (272 nucleotides) under uncultured bacterium. Its description in RNAcentral is "partial 16S ribosomal RNA". It matches the Rfam family "Bacterial small subunit ribosomal RNA", at positions 87 to 354 of the family's 1533-position model. The record is from RNAcentral.